RNAcentral lists this transfer RNA (74 nucleotides) under Candidatus Aenigmatarchaeota archaeon. RNAcentral describes it as "tRNA-Ile". It matches the Rfam family "tRNA". Rfam says of the family: Transfer RNA (tRNA) molecules are approximately 80 nucleotides in length. Their secondary structure includes four short double-helical elements and three loops (D, anti-codon, and T loops). RNAcentral also lists the same sequence under 1 other name. The record is from RNAcentral. Lineage: Archaea; Nanobdellati; Candidatus Aenigmatarchaeota.
GGGCGGGUAGCUUAGUCUGGUGGAGCGUCCGGCUGAUAACCGGAAGGUCGGGAGUUCGAAUCUCCCCUCGCCCA